This 158-nucleotide ribosomal RNA is filed under the name uncultured bacterium. Its description in RNAcentral is "partial 16S ribosomal RNA". It matches the Rfam family "Bacterial small subunit ribosomal RNA", at positions 355 to 509 of the family's 1533-position model. The record is from RNAcentral.
UGAGGAAUAUUGGUCAAUGGGCGGGAGCCUGAACCAGCCAAGUCGCGUGAGGGAAGACGGUCCUAUGGAUUGUAAACCUCUUUUGUCGGGGAGCAAAGAGGCCACGUGUGGUCAAAAGCGAGAGUACCCGAAGAAAAAGCAUCGACUAACUCCGUGCC